UUAACAGCGGUGUUAGCGCACAAAGAAUUUUGAUUUCUUGGGAGGGGGAUUAGACCCCCUUGUUAAA
This 67-nucleotide transfer RNA is filed under the name Cerithidea obtusa. RNAcentral's name for it is "tRNA-Gln". Lineage: Eukaryota; Metazoa; Mollusca; Gastropoda; Potamididae. The record is from RNAcentral.